GAGAAUUCGCUGGCACUGCCUGCUACUCUGAGUGCUUAAUACACAGUAGCUCGAUCUUCACCCUAGCCUUGGGAGGUGGCAUUGGUCCCUACCCGUUUUACAGGAGAAAAAACUAAGGCACAGAGGAGUUAAAAGGUUCAUCCAGGGUGACAGAGCCAAUAAGUGGAAGACGGUGAUGUUUUGGAAAUGAGGUGACCAGAACUUCAGGGAGGUGAGGCAGACCCUUCUGAGGACAAAGCAGCAGUUAACAAUCAUCUUUCCUGUCAGUAUCCAGGCUCCAUGAAAGUACAACAGCAGAGACGGAAAGAUAUGCACCACCGGCUGAGUGAUGGUUCAGGGAAGUUGAAAUCCGUCAUGUCCGGCCAGAGCAGGCCAAGCAGAUGCCCAAUAACUGUUCUUUGGCGAUGACAAUGACCUCACGCAGGAUUCAAAUAAGAGGGAAUAUUUCCCUAACUCAUUCCAGGAGACCAGACUUACCCUGAUACUGAGGCCAAAAAAAGACACUGCGGCCAAAAAAAGACACUGCAAGAAAAGCAAACUACAGAUAACUCUCUGCUGCAAACACAGAGUCAGAAGUCCUCAAAAGAACACCAUAAAAUUGAACUUAGCAGAGAAGGAAGUGGAUUAUAUACCGUGACCAAGUGGGAUUCAUUCCUGAAAGGCAAGGAUGGUUUAAUAUCUGAAAACCAAUCAGUGUAGUGUAAAAUGUCCCAUUAGUAGAAUCAAGGGGAAAAUCAUGUGAUCACUUCAGUUGAUACAACUUUUCAUGAUUCAAAGCACUCUGAGUUAGGAAUAGAGGGAAAUUUCCUCACACAGUAGAGAUCAUAUAUGAAAACCUCCCAGCUAAUAUUACUUAAUGGUGAGAGACUAAAAACUUUGCUAAGAUCAGCAGUAAGACAAAAUGCCCACUUUUACUAACAUAGUAUUGGCAGUAUCACAAUAGACAAUAAAAAGAAAAUGUAUAUUUUUUCUGUUUAGAGAUGACAUGACCUUACAUGUAGAUAACGCUAAAGAUUCCACACAUUAAAAAAACAAAAAGAAGAAGAAAGAAAAGAACUAGAAGCUAUAUGCAGUAGUGGAUACCUAUGAUCCCAGAGCUCAGGGAGGAUCUAAAGUUUGAGUCCUACUUGGGGAAUUUAGUGAGACCCUGUCUCAAAAUUAAAAAAAAAAAAAAGCAGGAGCUGGAGGUGUUG
Molecule: long non-coding RNA, 1193 nt
Organism: Fukomys damarensis (Damara mole-rat)
Lineage: Eukaryota; Metazoa; Chordata; Mammalia; Rodentia; Bathyergidae
Exons: 4
Source: RefSeq, a predicted model, not a curated record